Cucurbita moschata (crookneck pumpkin) is the source of this 1583-nucleotide RNA transcript. It is a transcript of the gene named pentatricopeptide repeat-containing protein At2g15690, mitochondrial-like, with no coding region annotated. Lineage: Eukaryota; Viridiplantae; Streptophyta; Magnoliopsida; Cucurbitales; Cucurbitaceae. The record is from RefSeq and is a predicted model, not a curated record. The transcript is spliced from 3 exons.
UUGUUUCUACACGUCCGAUUAUCUCAACAAAGUUCUUGGCCAUCUUCUGGGCUGUAUGCCCCCACCAACGCUCUUCCUUUUAAGAUAACAAAAACAGCACACCAAUGGCUUCCUCGAUUCCUUCUCAGACCACUCCAAACUCCAUUAUCACUACCAAUUUCACAUCGCGAAUCAUCCCAUUUCACUCUCCCGCGGUCAAAUCCUUCCGACCCACGCUCUUCUGCCCUAAUUCUCUCUCCAAUUCCAGCAACCGGAAGCCGGCUCGCCGCUACGACGGCCAAACCACGACGAACACUCUCUCCAAAUCUCAGAACCGGACGAGCGAUUCAGUUCUUAGUCUUCCGUCGACGGUGGAUUUAGUGGCUCUAUGCGAGGCGGGUGAGGUAAUGGACGUUCUGGAAUUUAUUGGCCAAGGUGCUAAUCUUGAUUAUGGUAUUUGUACAGCUUUGUUGAAUUCUUGUUGCAAUUUUAAGUUGCUUGAGGCUGGGAGAAGGGUGGAUAGGCUGUUGAAAGGGACGAAAUUUAGUGGGGAUGUGGGAUUGAACAAUAACUUGAUUGAAAUGUACUCUUGUUGUGGCUGUAUGAAAGAUGCGCGUAGGGUGUUUGAUAAAAUGCCUGACAGGGAUAUUAGGACGUGGAAUUUGAUGAUCAAGGGGUAUGGAGAGAAUGGGGAAGGAGAUGGUGGGUUGGCCUUGUUUGAGCGAAUGAAGAGUGUGGGAUUGCAGCCAAAUUCUGAAACAUUUCUAGUGGUGUUAGCAGCUUGUGCCAUGGCUGAAGCUGUGGAGGAAGGUUUAUUUUACUUUAACUCGAUGGAAAAUGAAUAUGGAAUCAUUCCUGAAAUCGAACAUUAUUUGGGAGUUGUUGAUGUUCUUGGGAAAUCUGGCCAUUUGAUUGAAGCAGAAGAGUUCAUUAAGAAAAUUCCCAUCAACCCCACAGCCAAAAUCUGGGAUGCCCUUAGAAUCUACGCUCGACUCCAUGGAAACAUCGAGCUUGAAGAUCGAGCCGAAGAGCUGAUAUUCUCUUAUGACCCGUCCAUGGCGCCCACGGCUGCCAAGCCACCGCUCCUUCCCCCAAGGAAGCAAUCGGCCACCAACAUGUUGGAGGAGAAGGACAGAGUGAGGGAGUUCAGAUGUGCAAUGCCUUACAAAGAAGAGGGGGAAGGGGGGAAGCUAAAAGGAUUGAAUGGACAAAUGAGAGAAGCAGGGUAUGUGCCAGAUACAAGAUAUGUGCUUCAUGACAUUGAUGAGGAGGCUAAACAGCAAGCUUUGCAAUACCAUAGCGAGCGGUUAGCCAUUGCUUACGGAUUGAUCAGUACGCCUGCGAGAACGACGCUGAGAAUCAUCAAGAAUCUUCGGAUCUGCGGCGAUUGUCACAAUGCAAUCAAGAUCAUGUCAAAGAUUGUUGGAAGAGAGUUGAUUGUUAGAGAUAAUAAGCGGUUUCAUCACUUCAAAGACGGCAAGUGCUCUUGUGGGGAUUAUUGAAAGCGAAGCCAUUCCGUCGAGAAGGUCGAGAGUAGAUUGAAAGAUGAAUAUUCAUGAAGCAGGCCCAGGGUUGGGUGGAAGAAGUCCUCGCUCCGUAGUCCG